Molecule: transfer RNA, 73 nt
Organism: Ipomoea nil (Japanese morning glory)
Lineage: Eukaryota; Viridiplantae; Streptophyta; Magnoliopsida; Solanales; Convolvulaceae
Rfam family: tRNA
About the family: Transfer RNA (tRNA) molecules are approximately 80 nucleotides in length. Their secondary structure includes four short double-helical elements and three loops (D, anti-codon, and T loops).
Source: Rfam
GACUUCAUGGCUCAAUGGAUAAGGCGCUGGUCUACGAAACCAAAGAUUCUGGGUUCAAUCCCCAGUGAAGUCG